Molecule: ribosomal RNA, 682 nt
Filed under: uncultured bacterium
Lineage: Bacteria
Description: bacterial SSU rRNA
Rfam family: Bacterial small subunit ribosomal RNA
Source: RNAcentral
AGAGUUUGAUCCUGGCUCAGGAUGAACGCUAGCGGCAGGCUUAAUACAUGCAAGUCGAGGGGCAGCAUGAGUGUAGCAAUACAUUUGAUGGCGACCGGCAAACGGGUGCGGAACACGUACACAACCUUCCUUUAAGUGGAGAAUAGCCCAGGGAAACUUGGAUUAAUACUCCGUAACAUAUAGAAAUGGCAUCAUUUUUAUAUUAUAGCUCAGGCGCUUAGAGAUGGGUGUGCGGCUGAUUAGGUAGUUGGCGGGGUAACGGCCCACCAAGCCUGCGAUCAGUAACUGGUGUGAGAGCACGACCAGUCACACGGGCACUGAGACACGGGCCCGACUCCUACGGGAGGCAGCAGUAAGGAAUAUUGGUCAAUGGACGCAAGUCUGAACCAGCCAUGCCGCGUGGAGGAUGAAGGUCCUCUGGAUUGUAAACUUCUUUUAUCUGGGAAGAAAUCCAUUUUUUCUAAAAUGGUUGACGGUACCAGAUGAAUAAGCACCGGCUAACUCCGUGCCAGCAGCCGCGGUAAUACGGAGGGUGCAAGCGUUAUCCGGAUUCACUGGGUUUAAAGGGUGCGUAGGUGGGUCUGUAAGUCCGUGGUGAAAUCUCCGAGCUUAACUCGGAAACUGCCAUGGAUACUAUAGAUCUUGAAUACUGUGGAGGUCAGCGGAAUAUGUCAUGUAGCGG